Non-coding RNA from Pelobates cultripes (western spadefoot toad), 212 nucleotides. The record is from the annotation of a GenBank genome assembly. Lineage: Eukaryota; Metazoa; Chordata; Amphibia; Anura; Pelobatidae.
GUCCAUGCAAGGCCUGCGCUAUCUGAGUGCUGGCCCUUCUGUAUUCCAUGAUGGGCCGUGGAGAUAAAAGAUCUCCUCACAGGCCCAUUUGCAGUGUAAUGCAGCCUCCGGCGGAAGAGGGAGACACACUCUCUACAGCACCUAGACACACAUACAUUACAUUACACCACAAACACAACAUGACUGAAACCAACUUAUUAACACAAUACCAC